RNAcentral lists this long non-coding RNA (3809 nucleotides) under Triticum aestivum (bread wheat). RNAcentral's name for it is "long non-coding RNA (TAES_LNC008730)". Lineage: Eukaryota; Viridiplantae; Streptophyta; Magnoliopsida; Poales; Poaceae. The record is from RNAcentral.
AGUAGUAGUACUAGUACACAGCACUUGAGGCUUGGAGCACACACGGUGGUACUAGAAGGAGGAAAUGCCUUGUGAUGAAAUUGGAAUGGCCUGAGUUUUACAACCGGGAUGCAGCUCCUUUUAUAGGUAGCUGAACCGACUAACUAUACGUAUGAGCUUACGUCAAGCUCCUAGAUUACAUCACUGCUGACGACUAGCUUGCUCAGCUUUUACCAUAGUAAAUUACUACUACUAGUAGUUUCCUUAACUACCAAGGCAUGCAGCCGCUACUGCUUUUCUUGCCGACAUGCAGCUGCAUGUCAUUUCCACCUCCUGGCUAAGUAACUGCUACUGCUGCCGCUGUAACCAAGCAUGCAUAGCCAUGCAUGCAUCGAAGACAGGUUUGACUCAACAAUCUCCCCCUCAAACCUAUAGGAGGGUCUUGAUGAUCCCGCUCCUGUCGUGCGGCUCUUGGAACUCGACGCAACCAAGUGCCUUCGUUGGGAUGUCCGCCUUCUCGGCGGCCCGUAUGCCCUGUUCGUGCUUCUUGAUCUCGGGUGCUGCGAUCGUCUCGCGGGCUCGAGAAGGUCCCCCUAGGCUUCGGAACCUGUGUGGAUCGCCACCAUUUUUGUUGGCAUCGAACAAGUCCGACCGCGCUUUUGAUGGGGACAUGAACUGCUCGGGAACCACCUCGCUCGUGGGUGUCAGUGUUUCUGGGGUCGUAGUUCCUGAUGUCACACUGCCCGGGAACUCCCUUCCCGGGGUCGUCGUGCCGGACGCCGCACUGCCCGGGAACUCCCUUCCCGGGGAUGACUUGUCGGACAUCGGACUACCCAGGAAUUCCCUUCCUGGGGUCGUCGUGCCGGACGCCGCACUGCCUGGGAACUCCCUUCCCAGGGUCGUUGUGCCGGACGCCACACUGACCGGAGUGGCUCCUCUCAGGGUAGCGGAGUCCUUGGUGCUCUUCCCAUCAGACUUGCUUGUCGGGUCUCCCCCGACAAUCGUGAGUCGUGCCUCCCGCACGGACUCGAUGGAGCCCGAGUGCGUCGGGGCUGCAGUGUGGCCGACCAUAGAGCAUAGUGCCUCCUGCACGGUCUCGACGGUCGCCACCAGCGUAGUCGGGUCGUGCCCAACUACAGAGUCCCGUGCGUCCCGCACGGACUCGAUGGACCCCGAGCGUGUCGGGGUCGCGGCAUAGCCGACCAAAGAGUGUUGUGCCUCCUGCACGGACUCUAUGGUCGCCAUAGUCUCGGUCGAGGCCUUGCCGCCCCAUGACCGUCUCUUCAUUGCCUCCCAGUUGAGGCUUGUCGAAGAGUGCCGUGUUGCCCACACGGGCUUGCAGAACCCUGAGAACCUGGUUGUCGGGUUGUGGCCGACCUGAGAGUGCCGUGCCUCUUGCACGAUCUCACUGGUCACCAGCAUCAUGGUUGGGACGUGGCCCACCAUAUGCGUCAUUGCCGUGCCUCCUGACACGAGCUUGUUGGGUCGCGAGGAUGUCGGGUACGCCUUUGCCGUGCCAUCUUGCACGGGCUUGACCAGCGUCGCAGGGGACGUGGUUUCCGGGGUGUGGCUCCCCCACACCUGGGUCUUCAUCUCCUCCCAAUCGUAGUCUCCCGAGAACGUAGUUGUCGGGGAGAGCGGUACCGAUGUCGCGAGGGGAUUACUUGAAGAGCUCCAUGCCUCCCACACGGACUUAACGGUUGCCGACACCGUGGUCGCCGGAGGUUCUGCGCCCUCCUGCACGGCUUCGAUGCUUGUCAGGACCAUGGUCGCCGGAGGCGCUCUGCCCUCCUGCAUGGUCUCGACGCAAGCCAUCAUCAUUGCUGGCCCACCGUCUUCUUCAGCCUCGACGAGGUUUGCCGCGGCCACGGCAUCCUCGUCAGCCAUCCUCUUGCGGCACUCACGGGCCCAGUGGCCCUUGAUGCUGCAAUAUCGGCACUUGUCUCGGUCGUCGUUGCCGGCACCUCGUCCGGCUCCACCCUGGGUGCGACCGCCGCCUCUGCCGAUGCUGCCUCCGCUGCUCUGGGCACCGCCACCACGUCCUUGACGCUUCCUCGCCUCCCACUUCUUUGAGAAUAGGAGUUGUCCGCCGCCGAAGCUCUCGCGGCCGUCGUCAAGGCGGUCCUCGACCACCCGCAACCGGCCCAUGAGCUCCUCGACGGAGAGCUCACUCAGAUCAAGCAAGGUCUCGAUGGAGACCGCUACCUGAGCGAAGCGAGAUGGCACGACGCGGAGAAAUUUCCGCACGAGUCUCGCGUCGUCCAUGGUGUCGCCGAGCGCGCGGAGCUGUGACGCAAGGCUGGAGAUCCGCAUGGCGAAGUUGUCGACGAGCUCGCCCUCCUUGAAGGCGAUGUUCUCGAAGUCCGCCCGCAGCUUCUGCGCGUUCGCCUCAUGCACGCGGUUGCUGCCAAAUCGCUGGGUACGGAUGGCUUCCCACGCCUCCUUGGCGCUUGCCUUCGCCGCGAGCAUGCCGUGCAUCUCCGGCGGCGUGGCGCGCAUGAGGGCCGCCACGGCUUUCCUGUCCUCCUUUCUCUCGAUCAGGUCGUCCUCCAUGGGAGCCCAGAGGCUCGCCGCAUGAAGGUUGCACUCCAUGAUCAACGCCCACUCGCUGUAGUUCGAGCGCGUGAGCAUCGGGAAGGUGAUGGGCAUGCUACCGCUGAUUGCGGUCUCGCGCACGAUCUCCCUAACCACGACCUCACCGCGAUGGCCGCGCCUGGAGCGGCUGCGCCCUCGCCGCUCCUCCGGAGCCGGCGACUGGGAGCCGUCCUGUGAUGGCCGCGACUGGGAACCACCCGAGGUGGUGCGCUGCUGCACUCCUUUACCACCGGCCAUGGCUACCACAACCAGAGGCUCUGAUACCAAUUGUCAGCCCAGAACUACUCGCUAGCACUCGAGUACACUGAUAGAUGACCGGUGGAUGAGCACACACACAUACUACUCACACACUCACUAGUGUAUCACACACACACACGUAGUAGUAGUAGUACUAGUACACAGCACUUGAGGCUUGGAGCACACACGGUGGUACUAGAAGGAGGAAAUGUCUUGUAAUGAAAUUGGAAUGGCCUGAGUUUUACAACCGGGAUGCAGCUCCUUUUAUAGGUAGCUGAACCGACUAACUAUACGUAUGAGCUUACGUCAAGCUCCUAGAUUACAUCACUGCUGACGACUAGCUUGCUCAGCUUUUACCAUAGUAAAUUACUACUACUAGUAGUUUCCUUAACUACCAAGGCAUGCAGCCGCUACUGCUUUUCUUGCCGACAUGCAGCUGCAUGUCAUUUCCACCUCCUGGCUAAGUAACUGCUACUGCUGCCGCUGUAACCAAGCAUGCAUAGCCAUGCAUGCAUCGAAGACAGGUUUGACUCAACAAAGAUCACAAGCCUGACAACAUCGUCAUUUCUCUUCCAGCACCAGAGUAAUCUUUGGUAGCUCGUUGUAGCAGCAUCCUUCCCGGAGCAAGCAGAUGGCGCCAACUCUGAAGCUCAGGAUCCUCGCCGUGGCUGCCGCUGCCGCUGUCAUGGUCAGCACGGUCUCCGCGGCCGAUGGACCAGCUCCCGCGCCAGCCUUUGGCGCGUCGGUGGCCGCCCGGGCUGUCGCCAUGGCGUCCUUGACGGCACUCCUCUUUGGCUACUUCUUCUGAGGCCAUUACACGAAGUGCCUUGACGGCACUCCUCUUUGGCUACUUCUUCUGAGGCCAUUACACGAAGUGCGUUGUGCGCACAAUCAUUUGGGUAUCUUUCUUUGGUCGUCUCAUGUUCAUAGAUGAUAUGAGUACAUAUUGUAAAUUUACAUGUUCAUUUUUCAUUUUCUAAUGAAAAAAAUUGUUGGGG